Mesocricetus auratus (golden hamster) is the source of this 1005-nucleotide RNA transcript. It is a transcript of the gene named tachykinin precursor 3, with no coding region annotated. The record is from RefSeq and is a predicted model, not a curated record. Lineage: Eukaryota; Metazoa; Chordata; Mammalia; Rodentia; Cricetidae. The transcript has 9 exons.
UCCAGCCAACUGGGAUUGGUGACUCUCAGCCCCUCCCCUCAGCUCCCCCAAACCCUCCCAGAACCUUUAUCAGGGAGCUGGGACUGGUUCCUGCCAGAGCCCUGCACUCUUGCUUCCAUCUCCACAGCAGCACCAGCUCCCCGAUCCUGCCGUGCAGCCAGCUCCACAGACGCCAUGAGGGCCUCCAUGCUGGUCACUGCCAUCCUAGCACUCAGCGUGGCUUGCAGCUUUGGGGCUGUCUGUGAGGAGUCUCCGGAGCAGGUGGCGCCUGUGGGGAGGCACAGCAAGCCUCUGCUUCGUCAGAGGAGUAAGACAGAAAUCGAAAAACAAGGCAGCAUGAGCCUGGAUCCCCGAAGUUCCUCUAAGAAAAAGAAUAGGAUUUGUCAGGACUCUGACCUGUACCAGUUGCCCCAGUCCUUGCUUCGGAGGCUCUACGACAGCCACUCAGUGUCUCUGGAAGGAUUGCUGAAAGUGCUGAGCAAGGCCAGCACGGGACCCAAGGAGACAUCGCUUCCCCAGAAACGUGACAUGCAUGAUUUCUUUGUGGGACUCAUGGGCAAGAGAAACAGCCAGCCAGACGCCCCCACUGAUGUGGGUGAAGAGAAUACCCCCAGCUUUGGCACCCUGAAAUAGGCCCCCAGUGCAGAAUAAGUUUCUGGUCUCAGGGUGGCCAGUCCGAGACCCAAGAAGCUGACCCUAGAUGCCACCUGUCCACGGCUCCCUCGGACCAGGGACUGGGUCCAGUCUCCCACUUACUGUUGGCACUCCACUUGUGGAGCCCCGACGGCACCUUCAGGACAUCGUCUCAGUACCGAUGCCAGAGCAUGCUCUCCUGACUCCCUUUCUGUUUCCCAAGCUUAUCCCACCCUCCGUUUGACUCCCUCUCCUGCUCAGCAUGGAAGCUGCAUAUGAAUAGUUUCAAUCCCUUGGGCACUAUGGUUUCUGAAAUGUCCUGCAUUAAAAAUACAAUGUCUCCUCUUCAACAAUAAAGGGUUUUUACAAAGG